CGUAGGGUGCGAGCGUUAAUCGGAAUUACUGGGCGUAAAGCGUGCGCAGGCGGUUUUGUAAGACAGGCGUGAAAUCCCCGGGCUCAACCUGGGAACUGCGCUUGUGACUGCAAGGCUAGAGUACGGCAGUGGGGGUGGAAUUCCACGUGUAGCAGUGAAAUGCGUAGAGAUGUGGAGGAACACCAAUGGCGAAGGCAGCCCCCUGGGUCGAUACUGACGCUCAUGCACGAAAGCGUGGGUAGCAAACAGGAUUAGAUACCCUGGUAGUCCACGCCCUAAACGAUGUCAACUAGGUGUUGGGUGGGUAAAACCAUUUAGUACCGGAGCUAACGCGUGAAGUUGACCGCCUGGGGAGUACGGCCGCAAGGUUA
Molecule: ribosomal RNA, 371 nt
Filed under: uncultured organism
Description: bacterial SSU rRNA
Rfam family: Bacterial small subunit ribosomal RNA
Source: RNAcentral